AAGGUAUUGCAGUUCUACAAACUGUCCUUGGAAAUAAAAGAUUACAAGAAUAAGAGACAGGAGGAUGCCCUGCGCAUCCCACAUAAAGCACUUGCACUUGAGUUCUUGUCUCAGACUCUGUUUCGCCAAGAGGCAAGAAGAUGUCUUAGAUCCUGAAGCAACUUGGAUCUUCAACAGCCGAAUGAAUCACUUUUGGAUGGCCAUGCUUGGAGUCUUGGGAGAGUCUUGCUUUUUUCCUUUUAGCAGGAAGCCAUGAGGUGAGCAGCUUUUGUCCAGUGUUCCCUUUGACCAUGAUGUUGGAC
Molecule: long non-coding RNA, 302 nt
Organism: Urocitellus parryii (Arctic ground squirrel)
Lineage: Eukaryota; Metazoa; Chordata; Mammalia; Rodentia; Sciuridae
Source: RefSeq, a predicted model, not a curated record